RNAcentral lists this unclassified non-coding RNA (272 nucleotides) under plant metagenome. Its description in RNAcentral is "partial contains small subunit ribosomal RNA, internal transcribed spacer 1, and 5.8S ribosomal RNA". The record is from RNAcentral.
UUUCCGUAGGUGAACCUGCGGAAGGAUCAUUAAUGAGUUGUCAUGGGGUUCGAUGCUGGCAGCCAGUUUUUGGAUGCAUGUGCUUGCCCUAACAAUCAUCUUCUUCCAAACACCUGUGCACAUUUUUGAGGGAGUCUUGAGUUGGUUGCCGCUCUUGGGUGAUUUUCUCACAUUCCCUUAAAUCAUUAUACGCUAUUAACAAUGUUGAACGUGCUCUGUGCCGCAAGGCCAUUAAUAUUAUACAACUUUUAACAACGGAUCUCUUGGCUCUC